RNAcentral lists this ribosomal RNA (506 nucleotides) under Anopheles culicifacies. Its description in RNAcentral is "bacterial LSU rRNA". Lineage: Eukaryota; Metazoa; Arthropoda; Insecta; Diptera; Culicidae. The record is from RNAcentral.
UAUGCUUAAUUCAGGGGGUUGUCACACAUCACUUGAGGCCCUACUGAUAAAGCGUUGGGAGUGCAGGACACAGAACCGGGCACGUUGAACGCAUAUGGGGCAUGGGACGAUUCAACCCGACCGGGGUACACAUUCUUGAGUGCCUACCAAAUGCGUGUUACACAAUAAACCUAACUACAGGGCGCGCGUGCAGGCAAGCAACACACCGGGACGAGCAGCCCGUCCCAACGCCUUGGCGUGGUGGGUGGUUUGCAGCACUGCACGUGGGCGCACUGUGCAUCUUGGCGUGCUCGAGUCCCGCAAGGGGGCUCUUGGGCGCUGAAAAGGUUUGGCGAAACGGGUGCGCGCGUCAAGUCGGCACGGGUCGAACUUCGGCUUUGGAUGACCUGAGAACCCCGGCAGCCUACUAACACCAGGCUUGCCGAUACGGGUCCAGGGGAAGUCCGGCCAGUUCGUGUAACGCGUGACCGACCCAUUGUAACACAGGACGCCGCAACAACUCCAGU